ACUCAAAUGAAUUGACGGGGACCCGCACAAGCAGCGGAGCGUGUGGUUUAAUUCGAUGCAACGCGAAGAACCUUACCUGGGCUUGACACCCUUUCGCAACCCUCUGAAAGGAGGGCCUCUUCGGACGGAAGGACAGAUGUUGCAUGGCUGUCGUCAGCUCGUGUCGUGAGAUGUUGGGUUAAGUCCCGCAACGAGCGCAACCCUCGUUUCUAGUUGCAAAUCUAGAGAGACUGCCGGAAACAAACCGGAGGAAGGUGGGGAUGACGUCAAGUCAGCAUGACUCUUACGUCCAGGGCUACACACACGCUACAAUGGUCGUUACAGCGAGAAGCCAACCCGCGAGGGUGAGCAGACCUCUAAAAGGCGGCCUCAGUUCAGAUUGCACUCUGCAACCCGAGUGCAUGAAGGUGGAGUUGCUAGUAACCGCGUGUCAGCAUAGCGCGGUGAAUAUGUUCCCGGGUCUUGUACACACCGCCCGU
RNAcentral lists this ribosomal RNA (479 nucleotides) under uncultured bacterium. RNAcentral's name for it is "partial 16S ribosomal RNA". It matches the Rfam family "Bacterial small subunit ribosomal RNA", at positions 899 to 1397 of the family's 1533-position model. The record is from RNAcentral.